This 312-nucleotide ribosomal RNA is filed under the name Triticum aestivum (bread wheat). Its description in RNAcentral is "partial small subunit ribosomal RNA". Lineage: Eukaryota; Viridiplantae; Streptophyta; Magnoliopsida; Poales; Poaceae. The record is from RNAcentral.
AUGGGUUGUCCUGAUGGAACAGUGAAGAUCGGCGACUAUAUGGUCUGGCGACAUUAUUGCAUCAAUGGAAAAAGCAAAGUGUCAAAGCCUCUUCUGUCAAUCCAGCAGCACACCGCUGCCCUUUGCAUCCUCCCUGCAUCACUGCAACUGGGCCGUGCUCACAUCGUCUGUGGUCACAUGCGCAAUCUCUGCGCUCGACGCUGCCUCCACCGAGAUUCAUUGCAAGGGUGCCUGAAACGCCCACUGCUGGGUACAUGCAUACAACAAUUAUGCCAUGUCUUCCCUAUUCGAUCGGUCGCACAGUGUCUGUAA